GUGAAGCCGAACAAAUGGAGCCCGGAGGUUAAUAACGCUGUCUCUACUGGGACAGAAGACAGAUGACAUCACGUCGCAGGCAGUAAUGCCUUGGUGCAUUCCUGAGCUAGCCCUUGGGACGUAUCCAUUAACCCAGCUAGGAGACAAAGGUGACCUCACAAUCCCCACAGCACUGGAGGAAAGCCCUAGGAAGGCCCCCAGGAGCAAGCUAAGCCCUACCUCCUGCUCCAGUCUGGCUAAGUGCACUUCAACUACUCCUGUAUCAUCCAUCAUAGUGUGGUAAUUCAAGCAAAUGGAUCCAGUUUGACAUGCUUGAAAUAAGCAUCAUACCCCCAACCAACUAAACUAUAAGGCCAUCUGCUCUUUUAUUUUUUGAGGGCAUGCUUGAUUUUAUUUUUCCUACUCAUCUGCUUUUCCAUAUUGUCACUUGAAUUCAAGUAGAGCCAAACACAA
This is a long non-coding RNA of Girardinichthys multiradiatus, 453 nucleotides long. RefSeq lists it as uncharacterized. The record is from RefSeq and is a predicted model, not a curated record. The transcript is spliced from 3 exons. Lineage: Eukaryota; Metazoa; Chordata; Actinopteri; Cyprinodontiformes; Goodeidae.